AUUGAACGCUGGCGGCAUGCCUUACACAUGCAAGUCGAACGGCAGCACGGGAGCAAUCCUGGUGGCGAGUGGCGAACGGGUGAGUAAUAUAUCGGAACGUGCCCAGUCGUGGGGGAUAACGUAGCGAAAGCUACGCUAAUACCGCAUACGAUCUAUGGAUGAAAGCGGGGGAUCGCAAGACCUCGCGCGAUUGGAGCGGCCGAUAUCAGAUUAGGUAGUUGGUGAGGUAAAGGCUCACCAAGCCGACGAUCUGUAGCUGGUCUGAGAGGACGACCAGCCACACUGGGACUGAGACACGGCCCAGACUCCUACGGGAGGCAGCAGUGGGGAAUUUUGGACAAUAGGGCGCAAGCCUGAUCCAGCAAUGCCGCGUGCAGGAUGAAGGCCUC
Molecule: ribosomal RNA, 389 nt
Filed under: uncultured bacterium
Lineage: Bacteria
Description: bacterial SSU rRNA
Rfam family: Bacterial small subunit ribosomal RNA
Source: RNAcentral